RNAcentral lists this ribosomal RNA (475 nucleotides) under uncultured bacterium. RNAcentral's name for it is "bacterial SSU rRNA". It matches the Rfam family "Bacterial small subunit ribosomal RNA", at positions 15 to 518 of the family's 1533-position model. The record is from RNAcentral.
GAUCAUGGCUCAGGAUGAAUGCUGGCGGCAUGCCUAAUACAUGCAAGUCGAGCGGUAACAGGACUAGCUUGCUAGUGCUGACGAGCGGCGGACGGCUGAGUAACGCAUGGGAACGCACCCCAAACUGAGGGAUAACUAGUCGAAAGAUUAGCUAAUACCGCAUGUGAUCUUCGGAUUAAAGCCUUCGGGCGGUUUGGGAGCGGCCUGUGUACGAUUAGCUAGUUGGUGAGGUAAUGGCUCACCAAGGCGACGAUCGUUAGAUGGUUUGAGAGGAUGAUCAUCCAGACUGGAACUGAGACACGGUCCAGACUCCUACGGGAGGCAGCAGUAGGGAAUCUUUCACAAUGGGCGAAAGCCUGAUGGAAGCAAUGCCGCGUGCAGGACGAAGGCCUUCGGGUUGUAAACUGCUUUUAUAAGCGAGGAAUAUGACGGUAACUUAUGAAUAAGGAUCGGCUAACUACGUGCCAGCAGCUGC